Molecule: ribosomal RNA, 468 nt
Filed under: uncultured bacterium
Lineage: Bacteria
Description: partial 16S ribosomal RNA
Rfam family: Bacterial small subunit ribosomal RNA
Source: RNAcentral
GACGAACGCUGGCGGCGUGCUUAACACAUGCAAGUCGAACGGAAAGGCCCUGCUUUUGUGGGGUGCUCGAGUGGCGAACGGGUGAGUAACACGUGAGUAACCUGCCCUUGACUUUGGGAUAACUUCAGGAAACUGGGGCUAAUACCGGAUAGGAGCUCCUGCUGCAUGGUGGGGGUUGGAAAGUUUCGGCGGUUGGGGCUGGACUCGCGGCUUAUCAGCUUGUUGGUGGGGUAGUGGCUUACCAAGGCUUUGACGGGUAGCCCGCCUGAGAGGGUGACCGGCCACAUUGGGACUGAGAUACGGCCCAGACUCCUACGGGAGGCAGCAGUGGGGAAUAUUGCACAAUGGGCGGAAGCCUGAUGCAGCAACGCCGCGUGCGGGAUGACGGCCUUCGGGUUGUAAACCGCUUUCGCCUGUGACGAAGCGUGAGUGACGGUAAUGGGUAAAGAAGCACCGGCUAACUACGUG